GACGAACGCUGGCGGCGUGCUUAACACAUGCAAGUCGAACGGAAAGGCCCUGCUUUUGUGGGGUGCUCGAGUGGCGAACGGGUGAGUAACACGUGAGUAACCUGCCCUUGACUUUGGGAUAACUUCAGGAAACUGGGGCUAAUACCGGGUAGGAGCUCCUGCUGCAUGGUGGGGGUUGGAAAGUUUCGGCGGUUGGGGAUGGACUCGCGGCUUAUCAGCUUGUUGGUGGGGUAGUGGCUUACCAAGGCUUUGACGGGUAGCCGGCCUGAGAGGGUGACCGGCCACAUUGGGACUGAGAUACGGCUCAGACUCCUACGGGAGGCAGCAGUGGGGAAUAUUGCACAAUGGGCGGAAGCCUGAUGCAGCAACGCCGCGUGCGGGAUGACGGCCUUCGGGUUGUAAACCGCUUUCGCCUGUGACGAAGCGUGAGUGACGGUAAUGGGUAAAGAAGCACCGGCUAACUACGUG
This 468-nucleotide ribosomal RNA is filed under the name uncultured bacterium. Its description in RNAcentral is "partial 16S ribosomal RNA". It matches the Rfam family "Bacterial small subunit ribosomal RNA", at positions 28 to 507 of the family's 1533-position model. The record is from RNAcentral.